GAUGAACGCUGGCGGCGUGCCUAAUACAUGCAAGUCGAGCGAACAGACGAGGAGCUUGCUCCUCUGACGUUAGCGGCGGACGGGUGAGUAACACGUGGAUAACCUACCUAUAAGACUGGGAUAACUUCGGGAAACCGGAGCUAAUACCGGAUAAUAUAUUGAACCGCAUGGUUCAAUAGUGAAAGACGGUUUUGCUGUCACUUAUAGAUGGAUCCGCGCCGCAUUAGCUAGUUGGUAAGGUAACGGCUUACCAAGGCAACGAUGCGUAGCCGACCUGAGAGGGUGAUCGGCCACACUAGAACUGAGACACGGUCCAGACUCCUACGGGAGGCAGCAGUAGGGAAUCUUCCGCAAUGGGCGAAAGCCUUACGGAGCAACGCCGCGUGAGUGAUGAAGGUCUUCGGAUCGUAAAACUCUGUUAUGAGGGAAGAACAAAUGUGUAAGUAACUAUGCACGUCUUGACGGUACCUAAUCAGAAAGCCACGGCUAACUACGUG
This 497-nucleotide ribosomal RNA is filed under the name uncultured bacterium. Its description in RNAcentral is "partial 16S ribosomal RNA". It matches the Rfam family "Bacterial small subunit ribosomal RNA", at positions 28 to 507 of the family's 1533-position model. The record is from RNAcentral.